Molecule: ribosomal RNA, 252 nt
Filed under: uncultured bacterium
Lineage: Bacteria
Description: partial 16S ribosomal RNA
Rfam family: Bacterial small subunit ribosomal RNA
Source: RNAcentral
UACGAAGGCCCCAAGCGUUAUCCGGAAUUACUGGGCGUAAAGCGUCUGUAGGUGGUUUUAAAGGUUUCGCGUGAAACUUCGGGGCUCAACCCUGAAUUGCGCGGAAAACCAUAAAACUUGAGUGCGGGAGAGGCAAGCAGAAUGGUAUGAGUAGGGGUGCAAUCCGUUGAUACAUACCAGAAUACCAAAAGCGAAGGCAGCUUGCUGGAACGCUACUGACACUGAGAGACGAAAGCGUGGGGAGCGAAAGGG